Molecule: long non-coding RNA, 350 nt
Filed under: Nicotiana benthamiana
Lineage: Eukaryota; Viridiplantae; Streptophyta; Magnoliopsida; Solanales; Solanaceae
Description: long non-coding RNA (NBEN_LNC010567)
Source: RNAcentral
CCAAUGGUUGCCAUUGUAGUAAUGACAUUUUCUUGGCAGUUAGAGGAACUCCCAAAUACUUGAAAGGUAACUCUCCAUAUACAUACCCAAGAUGAUUGACAAUGUGUUGUUGUGCAUCAGGAGAGACACCUCCAAAAUAGACAGAACUUCUACUCAGGUUAGCAGUCAUACCAGAAGCCUCAGUGAAUUGAGAGAAGAAUCUGAACAUGGUUGUGACAGCCUUCAAGUCUCCUUUGGCAAAUAACAGUAGAUCAUAUGCAAAGCUAAGAUGAGUAAUAUUUAACCUUUUACAACCAGGAUGGAAUAAAAAGUCUGGAUUUUUAUUUAGUUCCACAAGAGCCCUGUUAAGG